This 189-nucleotide unclassified non-coding RNA is filed under the name plant metagenome. Its description in RNAcentral is "partial contains small subunit ribosomal RNA, internal transcribed spacer 1, and 5.8S ribosomal RNA". The record is from RNAcentral.
UUUCCGUAGGUGAACCUGCGGAAGGAUCAUUAACACUAAUCCGUCUCAACUCAACCAAGCCUUCAGUUGCAGCAGUAGCUUGGCCUCGUGCGGUGCCGCUGAUGCAGCAACACAAACUUAAUUACGCAAAGGAGCAUAACUAAGCUCAACAACAAAUCCAAAUUCUCAACGAUGGAUAUCUUGGUUCCC